AUACGGAGGAUGCAGGCGUUAUCCGGAUUUAUUAGGUUUAAAGGGUGUUCAGGCUGCCUGGUAAGUCAGGGGUGAAAGUCGGUCGCUCAACGAUCGAAUUGCCUUUGAAACUGUCAGGCUCGAGUAUGGAUGCGGUAGGCGGAACGUGUAGUGUAGCGGUGAAAUGCAUAGAUAUUACACAGAACACCGAUUGCGAAGGCAGCUUACCAAACCAGCACUGACGCUGAAGCACGAAAGCGUGGGGAGCGAACAGGAUUAGAUACCCUGGUAGUCCACGCCGUAAACUUUGCUCACUCGCUGUUGGCGAUACACAGUCAGCGGCCAAGGGAAACCGAUAAGUGAGCCACCUGGGGAGUACGGCCGCAAGGUUGAA
This 373-nucleotide ribosomal RNA is filed under the name uncultured bacterium. Its description in RNAcentral is "bacterial SSU rRNA". It matches the Rfam family "Bacterial small subunit ribosomal RNA", at positions 523 to 898 of the family's 1533-position model. The record is from RNAcentral.